This is a small nuclear RNA of Ornithorhynchus anatinus (platypus), 195 nucleotides long. RefSeq annotates it as U2 spliceosomal RNA. The record is from RefSeq and is a predicted model, not a curated record. The transcript has a single exon. NCBI's taxonomy places the organism in Eukaryota, Metazoa, Chordata, Mammalia, Monotremata, Ornithorhynchidae.
GCCACUUCUCGGCCUUUUGACUAAGAUCAAACAUAGUAUCUGUUCUUAUCAGUUCAAUAUCUGAUAAGUCCUCUAUCCAAGGACAAUUUUAAUUCAAGACUGUGAGCCCCUUGUUGAGUAGGGAUUGUCUUUAUUUGUUGCUGAAUUGUACUUUCCGAGCGAUUCGUUCAGUGCUCUGCAUACAGGAAGCGCUCA